This 5492-nucleotide long non-coding RNA is filed under the name Homo sapiens (human). Its description in RNAcentral is "HSALNT0228315". The record is from RNAcentral. Lineage: Eukaryota; Metazoa; Chordata; Mammalia; Primates; Hominidae.
UGAGAUUACAGGUGUGUGCCACUAUGCUUACGAAUUUUGUUUUGUAUUAUUUGCAGAGAUGGGAUCUCACCAUAUUGCCCACACUGGUCUCGAACUCCCAGGUUCAAACCAUCCUCCUGACUCAGCCUCCCAAAGUGCUGCGACUAUAGGCGUGAGUCAUGGCACCUGGCCUGGAGCGCCUUUUCUAUGGAAACCAGAAGACCCCUAAAACUCAUCUUUCUUUUUGCCUGAGGGAUUAUCCCAUUGUGAUGACCUUGACUUUGAAGGAAGCAUGGUUAUGUCCCCUGAAGCCCUGGUCCACAUGAAGCUCUUCCUGCUUUUCUUCAGAGGAAGAUGCAGGAGCUGGUUAAUGGAAUGGAUUUUGCAUUCAGACAUCUCUUGGGGCUGCCUGUAGGUGGAUAUGUUCAUGGAAGACGGUGAAAAAGACAAGAAUAGGAUUUGCUGUAUAGAAUCACUAUAGUCACCAUCACACUGAGUAUCAACAACAUCUCUUGUUAUCCUCACAACUGUGCAAAACAGAUAUCCGACAGAGAGAAAGAGAAUGUGAUUGACUCUUAACUAGAGUCACGCACCACUCUGGAUCAAUCAUCUGAGGCCUGGGAGAAGUGUCAUAACACAGGCUGGAGUGCAGUGGCACAAUCUCAACUCACUGCGACUUCCUCUUCCCAGGUUCAAGUGAUACUCCUACCUCGGCCUCCAGAGUAGCUGGGAUUACAGGCUCGCACCACCACGCCCAGCUGAUUUUUGUAGUUUUAGUAGAGAUGGGGUUUCACCAUGUUGGCCAGGCUGGCCUCAAACUCCAGCAAGGUCAAUAUUUUAAAAACCAUGUAAGGAAGAAGGAAUUGAGGGAGAGUCACUAACUGGGGUCCCAAUGGCAUUAGCUUUUUGGCACUAGACAAGUUCCUAAACCAUAAAGUGGCUGAGUAGGAAGUGGUUUAUCCCACGUACAUACAGUUGUGCACCUUUAGAAUUAUUAACCGGUUAACAUUCCGGAGUGACCCCCAUUCUGGCAAGACUAGGACUAAAGAAACUCUGUUUGCCUUUUGGCUGAUGACAGGGCUCAGCAUGACAGGGCUCAGCAAUACCUCCCCUUACAACAGAAGUAUGAAGCAGAUCUUGAGGAAUCUGAGAAAGAUUAGAAUCUCUCUCCCUUUUUGUUUUAUAGCACAGUAUAUCAUAAUGGCACUGGGCUAUAGUUGAUUCAGUUAGCUGUUAAUUGAACAUCUAUUAUGCUCAAAACACUUUGGGGUCUAUAGGCCAAUCAACAUGGGGACUAUUCUCUAAGAAGCUGUUAUGCAAACUCCACUUGAACAGAGUGCAAUGGUUGUUUAGAAGAUAAGCUCUGACAAAUGAUUUGGGAACAAAAAAAGGCUCCAUGUAGUCAGGAAAAAGAGAUGUCAGUGAAGUUGGGGGGCUGUUUAGGACAUUAGGGAGAGAAAAACACAGUCUCUAGACAGUACGGAAGAGAAGGCUUUCCUUAAAAGAAAUAUCAAAGAGAUUUUAGGUUGUUAACUUUGGUGCACAAUGUAAACUCAUAUUUACCCCAUGGAAUCUUCAGUAAAUAUUACAUUAUUCACUGAUUUAUCAGAGUCAAUUUUUGGGGGGCCCUUUAAGAAGACAGGUUAGGGCAGCACAUAUACAAACUACCCAAGUAGGGGAAAAAUGCGUGGACUCAUUCUCAAGUUGUUUAUAAUAUGUAGGUGAAGGUCAUCACCCUAGGAUGGCGACUUUGAAAUUCCUAGUCAUCUAUCAGUCUGCCAAUCAGUUAAGCAAAGUAUUGAAAUAACACCCCAUGUGACUAUGUGACCAUCAUAGGACAUGAAAGUAUUGACUGCCUUGACUAACUGUUUGAACUCUACACUGUUUUAUUGUGGGGGGGCACAAAAUGAAAUGACACAGAACCCCUGCCCCUUGGGAACCCACAGCCUAUUGGUGAAAACAGACACAUAAACAUGUAAAAAUAUAAGACAUAAAAUGAAUCAAUAUGACACCAUAAUUGAACUUCAGUAAAGAAAUAAUCUUCAACAAACAUUGACACAUUCCAAGGACAGCAGAAACUCUGAACCAAGAGCGCUGAACUCAGAAAGCCCCUUGAUGUGUGAUGAUUGUUGGACAUUUCUGACAGCAUCACUAUUAGCUGUAUUGAUAACACUUGGGAAAGGUCAAGUUUUGCAAAGACUUUCUGCCCACCAAGAAUAGCAAGGAAUCGAUUGAUUCUGAGCACAAAAACAAUGUCAGAAGCUAGAGGGAAAUGCAGUGCGAUUGCUAUUACUGGGAAGCUCCCCUUCUCUCAAAUAAAUGUCCUGGGAAAUCUACAUUCAACUUCCUGUAGUUAGACUGUUGGACUCUUUGAAUACUCUUGGACCUUUAGCUUUUCACUAGCUUGGUCUUUUGUACCUUCAGUCUGAGCUCAUAGGCUAAUAAUUAAGGAUGUCUUCAUUGACUAUUUAAGGUAACAUCCUUCCGCCAUCACUGUGCUAACACCACACUAAUAAUUUAUUUUUUUGCACUUAAUAUGAAGUCAUCUUCAAUAUUUUAAGUUUGCCUCUUUACCUGUGGCUUGUUCCUCAUUCUCUUCUAGAAUAAAAGCUUCAUGAGUGCAAGAACUACGAUUAUCUUGUAGACAGGGUAGAGGCUAGCCUAAACUAGAUUCCUGUGCACCUCUGCGUGAAUUAGAAAAAAACACCCUCUCCAAAAAGGUGGGUUAGAAAAAGUCACAUCUUCUUGGUAGAUGCCGGUUGCAUGGGUUCAUAGCUUUGACGAGUGGAUUUCAACCCCUCGCUUUUCUUCGGCAUGUCGUACAAGAACUUCAGAAAUAUAUGUUGCAGCCCUGCUUGUCUAGUGCUAUUUGGGAUCACCCCUGGCACAUAGUGAAUGAAUCAAUAUGAUACCGUAAUUGAAUAAGAGGAGACCAUAAUACCCUCUUAGACCUACCAAACAAUCCAUGUUAUACAGCAAUAUCUUAUAUAGGAACAACAACAAUAAAAAACCUUGGAAGGCCUUUGAGACCAACCUUGAUUCCCUUACAGACCAGCUAGAGCCAGUCAGAGGCUCACAGCUGGAACACAACAGCACUUCAAUAGCACAGUAACCAAUUGAGGCUGACUUCUGUGACCUUCUGAUAUUUCAUAAAUGCACCAGCCGCAGGAACUCUUAUUUAAGUACUCCUGUUAGCCUUGUUCUUGCCUACUGACUUUACAGCCCCCUGUACAUGGCUGGGCUAGUGGGACGGAAGCCUUCCAACUGAGCAUCCCUUGCUAGAGGUCCUGUGAGUCCUGACAAAGCCUGUCUCCUGCCUUUUAAGAAUAGCAGAGUCAAAUAAAAUCUUGCCAGUGACUUUGGCCCACGCGUGGAGUGACGCCGACGGAUCUGCCUGAAAUGGAGACAUUAAAGAAUUUUGCAAAGCAAAGAAAAACCCACGGUUGCUUCCAUAAAUCAAAACUUCAAAUAAGAACGCAGCUUUAGCAAUUCAUUCCCUGCAGAAUUAACCUUUGUUUCCCGGCAGGCUGCUUCUAAGAAUAUGCUUCGUGCCUAAAAGGAAAUAGGAGAGCCCUUACAGAAUGGGUUUUAUGUUUACCACGCAGGAGGAAAAGCUGAAAUGAAAGCAAAGUUGAAAAGGAAGCUUGUUUCUAACUAAUCCAGCCUCUAGAUAGAAGUCCUAAGAUGCAAAAGCAAUUAUCAUAUACAUGAAUCUGUGUCCCUACUCACAGAUGCACAAAUGCCACUUCUUCGUCUGCUGUUUCUGUAACUUACUCCUGGCAAGGAUAACAGAGUUCUGGGGACUGGAAAAGGACUCAUCAUCCAGAUUCUUCUCUUCUUUAGGAUUCAACUUGGGACCUCCUCCUGGAAGUCCUCCUGGAUUUGAGAAGUACCCUUCCCCUGUGUCCCCAUAAAACCCUAUGAAUUUCUUUAUUAUUGAAUUUGUCACAUUGUAUUACAGUUAUCUGUUCAUGCGUCAAAGACAAGGGUAUUUUAUUUGACUUUAAAAAAAUCAUUAAAGUCAAAUACUUAGCACAUUGUCUGGAAUAGAAUGACAUCUCAGUAAGGUCUUAAUGAAAUAGUCAAUGGACCAUUCUGUUAACAGUUGCCUAUCGAACUCAUACUAUUUGUUGUCACUCUGCCACACACUAAGACUGUAUACAAGAAAUAUAACAUGUAAUAACAGUGGUUGCUAUCAUUUUUGAAUAUCUAUUCCAAGUCAGGUACUCUGCUAAUUGCUUUACAAAUGGGUUUCACCUGAAUACGUCGCAGCAGCUAUGACCUUCAUUUCAUAGAUCAGACUGAGACCAUAGUAGAUGAACUGACUUUUCCCCAAAGACACACAACAGGCAAGAGGAAGAACCGGGAGUUGAACCAGUCUCCAAAUCCUCUGAUCUAUUACCCUAUAGGAGUUUGCUUCUCUGACCUUAAGAAACAUGUGAUAUAAUGGGGGUUCGGUGGAGUGGUGUCAAAAGUACAAUGCAUUUGAAAUGCUGGAAAACCAUUAAGUGUCAGACGGUAGGGUGGUGCCUUCAUGGAGAAACAGGGAUCAACGAAGCAGGAGCUCCCUGUGUACUGGAUUAAUCAAGGAAAGAUUCAUGGCGGGUCCAGAACUUGAACUAAAAUCAGAAUGGAAUUUAAAUAUAUGGAGAAGAGAAGGUAAAGUAGAGAAACUUACGUUCAUUGAGUACAGAACAUUGGUCUUGGUAAAGAGAUUGGGUUUUGAAACUGGCAGAAUCUGGCACUGAAUUCAAACCUGCUAUUUUAAAGCUGUGAGAACUUUUGCAAUUUGCCCAACCUUUUGAGCCUCUCCACCACCAUAUGUAAAUAGGCAUAGUAAGACCUCUGGUAUCAGUUAAGAAUGCUUUCAUAUGCAAGUAAAAGACAUGUUGAAAAAUGGUGUAAAACAUAAGGACACAUAUGCAUCUCAGGGUUUGUUGAGUAAUUCAGUGGUGUUAUCAAGAACUCAGGCUCUUUUUGUACAUGCGGUCUCCCAUGCCCAGCUGUUAACUCCUCAUCCUUAUGUGUGAAAGAUGGCUGCCACAGAACCAGCCAUUGCAAUCACAUUCCAAGGCAGAAAGGAGGAGUAUGGGAAGUGCUAACACAACUUGUCCUUUUUAUCAGGAAACUAACUAACGCCUUCCCAAACACUCUUCUUUAGGAAUUUCUCCCCUUUUAUUUCAUGGAACAAAGCUGGGUCUCAUGUUGACUCUGAGCUGCAGGGAGAAUCUAUCUAUCUGCAGCUAUCUAGCCUGACUUUAUUCUCUCCAUAGUAGGAGGUAAGUAGAGGAAAACAGGUUGAGAAUGGCUUUUGGGAUAGCCAAACAAGAGCACUGGCCGUGCCUACCUCACUGGCAGUUUAAGGAUCCAGGAAAAAGAUGCAAGUAAAAGAGCAGUGAAGCACUCAUAGAAAGCAGCCAGGACAUGCUGCUCUGGGGAAACGUUGGACAAAACCAUGAUUAGGCUGGGUGCGGUGGCUCACGACUGUAAUCCCAACACUUUUGGAGGCCAAG